UUGGUCUCCCCGAUCGAUUUCUUCACCCUCCUGGAAGAACACUUCAUUCUUCUCUUCCUCUUCCCGGUUUCUCGUUUUCACCGUCUAGUCCCACCCCUAGUUUUAGGAUCGCGACGGGGUAAGGGUUUAGCCCGGAUCGUAGAGGUAGAGAGAGGGAGUGGGGAGGAGGUGGAGGCCGGCGGCGGUGCCGGUCCGGCCGCACCACCACGCGGAGGCGGUGGGUAGGUAGAUAGGUAGUGGUCGCGGGGAGUGGUGGUCGCGGGUAGAGCGGACGGUAUGGGCGCGCGGAGGUGGGCGACCACUAAGAGGAACGGCGAGGGAAGCGGAUGGAGCGACAACAAGAAGAAGGGCUACAGGAGGGACGACGGGAAGACGAGGAGGAGACGAAGGGUAGAGGAUCGCGGAGUUGGACGACGAGGAAGGGAAAGGAGUGCAAGAACGACGACGAGGAAGAAGAGAACGGAGCGACGAGGAGGAGAUGGAGACUUGAGGAGGAACGACAACGAGGAGUGCACACGGUAGAUCGACGACGGGAACUAGAGGGGAGUUAGAAAAGAGAACGACGACGACUACGGGAGUUAGAGGACGACGAAAAGAAGAAGAAGAUAGGGGUUUUGACGACGACGAGGGAGAGAGGUGCAGGGACGACUACGAGGAGUGCGCACGGUACAUCGUCCAAAUAGAUUAGGAGAACUACUGUACGCAGGCAUAUUAAAGAAACGAUGAUGGAACGUAAUGUACUAUGGUAGUGAAUUCUAACUAAACUUUUGAUUAAACGAACCUAUACUACUAUGUAUGUGACAACCACCGUAACGAGAGUAAGGACUAUUACUGUGAAUAAAAGGAAUACGAUCAGGAUACGAAUUACUUUGUAUAGUAAGGGUACGAUCAGAACUCGAAUUACUAUUUAAAGUAGGAGUACAAUCACAGAUGGAACGACUAAAGAUGGUAGGAUUUGUACACGAAAUAUCGAUACGAAUACAUUAACCUAUGAGCUAACUACUGAACCUCCCGUAAUAGGGAUCGUGAACGUAACAGAGAAAACAACUCACGGAAAAGUCCAAAUACGAAAACGUGCCAAGUGAUGUACGACUGGUCCAAGUUCCACUGUAAGGAACCCUGGGGCCACCUAAGUGCCUUACCACUGCUCCUCUUCGUUCCCCGUGUGUACUUCUUCUCACUUCGACCUCGUACGUACUCCUAUCUCUUCGUUUUUCUCUUCUCGACGUCAAAUCUCUCACAGCUCGCUCACGAUGAAGGAUAUAUUUGGGCUUUUCACGCGUUUCCGUGAUAUUAGCAGUUCUAAAGAUGAUACACCGAUUGCUCUUAUCUCUUCCCGUACUUUGUUUAUGCAGUUCCUGAACACACACUACUGUUCUUCAUUGGUCUCCCCGAUCGAUUUCUUCACCCUCCUGGAAGAACACUUCAUUCUUCUCUUCCUCUUCCCGGUUUCUCGUUUUCACCGUCUAGUCCCUCCCCUAGUUUUAGGGAUCGCGACGGGGUAAGGGUUUAGCCCGGACCGUAGAGGUAGAGAGAGGGAGUGGGGAGGAAGAGGUGGAGGCCGGCGGCGGUGCCGGUCCGGCCGCACCACCACGCGGAGGCGGUGGGUAGGUAGAUAGGUAGUGGUCGCGGGGAGUGGUGGUCGCGGGUAGAGCGGACGGUAUGGGCGCGCGGAGGUGGGCGACGACUAAGAGGACCGGCGAGGGAAGCGGAUGGAGCAACAACAAGAAGAAGGGCUGCAGGAGGGACGACGGGAAGACGAGGAGGAGAUGAAGGGGAGAGACUCGCGGAGUUGGACGACGAGGAAGGGAGAGGAGUGCAAGAACGACGAUGAGGAAGAGAACGGAGCGACGACGAGGAGAUGGAGACUUGAAGAGGAACGACAACGAGGAGUGAACACGGUAGAUCGACGACGGGGACUAGAGGGGAAUUAGGAAAGAGAACGACGACGACUACGGGAGUUAGAGGACGACGAAAAGAAGAAGAAGAUAGGGGUUUUGACGACGACGAGGGAGAGAGGUGCAGGGACGACGAAAAGAAGAAGAAGAGAGGGGUUUUGACGACGACGAGGGAGAGAGGUGCAGGGACGACGAAGAGAAAGAAGUUAGAACGACGACGAAUAGAGAGAGAGACUUAAAAGACAUUAUCCUCUACACAUCAUGAACAUUCCAAGUCUAAACUAUUCUCGAACGUUGGACAAUUAACAGUCAAGUCUAAACACGAACAAAUCAUCAUGAUAAGUCAACUAAAUAAUCAUGAUCAUGUGAACGAACGAAACAGGACGAGUAUUAACAUGACGAACGAAGUCUUCUAAACCAGACAUCAAGAACACAGGAGUUCAUGGACACCAUAUAUUUAUAUACAAGACAACAC
This 2373-nucleotide ribosomal RNA is filed under the name Triticum aestivum (bread wheat). RNAcentral describes it as "partial small subunit ribosomal RNA". The record is from RNAcentral. Lineage: Eukaryota; Viridiplantae; Streptophyta; Magnoliopsida; Poales; Poaceae.